AAGGCGCGCGAUACAGGGUGACAGCCCCGUACACAAAAGCGUAUGUGCUGUGAGCUCGAUGAGUAGGGCGGGACACGUGGUAUCCUGUCUGAAUAUGGGGGGACCAUCCUCCAAGGCUAAAUACUCCUGACUGACCGAUAGUGAACCAGUACCGUGAGGGAAAGGCGAAAAGAACCCCGGCGAGGGGAGUGAAAAAGAACCUGAAACCGUGUACGUACAAGCAGUGGGAGCCCCACCACUAAGCCAGUGGUGAACUCCACAUACGCAUCCUUUGCUGAGGAUACGGUUAACGGAGCGAAAGCGACGUUCAACCGCAAAAGAAGCAGAGGGGGCUUAGUGGUGGGGUGACUGCGUACCUUUUGUAUAAUGGGUCAGCGACUUAUAUUCUGUAGCAAGGUUAACCGAAUAGGGGAGCCGGAGGGAAACCGAGUCUUAACCGGGCGUUAAGUUGCAGGGUAUAGACCCGAAACCCGGUGAUCUAGCCAUGGGCAGGUUGAAGGUUGGGUAACACUAACUGGAGGACCGAACCGACUAAUGUUGAAAAAUUAGCGGAUGACCUGUGGCUGGGGGUGAAAGGCCAAUCAAACCGGGAGAUAGCUGGUUCUCCCCGAAAGCUAUUUAGGUAGCGCCUCGUGAAUUCAUCUCCGGGGGUAGAGCACUGUUUCGGCUAGGGGGCCAUCCCGGCUUACCAACCCGAUGCAAACUGCGAAUACCGGAGAAUGUUAUCACGGGAGACACACGGCGGGUGCUAACGUCCGUCGUGAAGAGGGAAACAACCCAGACCGCCAGCUAAGGUCCCAAAGUCAUGGUUAAGUGGGAAACGAUGUGGGAAGGCCCAGACAGCCAGGAUGUUGGCUUAGAAGCAGCCAUCAUUUAAAGAAAGCGUAAUAGCUCACUGGUCGAGUCGGCCUGCGCGGAAGAUGUAACGGGGCUAAACCAUGCACCGAAGCUGCGGCAGCGAACGUAUCACUUAAAGCGAUUCAGCGGGUUACGAUUGACGGAGCGAAGCGACGUCAAAGCGUAUACAAAGUCGAGUCGGUUUAAGGAUACGUUCGUUGGGUAGGGGAGCGUUCUGUAAGCCUGUGAAGGUGGCCUGUGAGGGUUGCUGGAGGUAUCAGAAGUGCGAAUGCUGACAUAAGUAACGAUAAAGCGGGUGAAAAGCCCGCUCGCCGGAAGACCAAGGGUUCCUGUCCAACGUUAAUCGGGGCAGGGUGAGUCGACCCCUAAGGCGAGGCCGAAAGGCGUAGUCGAUGGGAAACGGGUUAAUAUUCCCGUACUU
Molecule: ribosomal RNA, 1279 nt
Filed under: Salmonella enterica subsp. enterica serovar Dublin
Lineage: Bacteria; Pseudomonadati; Pseudomonadota; Gammaproteobacteria; Enterobacterales; Enterobacteriaceae
Description: partial 23S ribosomal RNA
Rfam family: Bacterial large subunit ribosomal RNA
Source: RNAcentral